CACCAAGACCUCUCUGAGUAGA
Molecule: microRNA, 22 nt
Filed under: Cavia porcellus (domestic guinea pig)
Lineage: Eukaryota; Metazoa; Chordata; Mammalia; Rodentia; Caviidae
Description: Cpo-Mir-506-P27b_3p (mature (guide))
Source: RNAcentral